RNAcentral lists this unclassified non-coding RNA (259 nucleotides) under Ilyonectria destructans. RNAcentral's name for it is "sequence contains 5.8S rRNA gene". The stretch from base 1 to 53 matches the Rfam family "5.8S ribosomal RNA", at positions 102 to 154 of the family's 154-position model. The record is from RNAcentral. Lineage: Eukaryota; Fungi; Ascomycota; Sordariomycetes; Hypocreales; Nectriaceae.
GAACGCAUCUUGCGCUCCUUGGUAUUCUGAGGAGCAUGCCUGUUUGAGUGUCAUUUCAACCCUCAAGCCCCCGGGCUUGGUGUUGGAGAUCGGCGUGCCCUCCGGGGCGCGCCGGCUCCCAAAUAUAGUGGCGGUCUCGCUGUAGCUUCCUCUGCGUAGUAGCACACCUCGCACUGGAAAACAGCGUGGCCACGCCGUUAAACCCCCCACUUCUGAAAGGUUGACCUCGGAUCAGGUAGGAAUACCCGCUGAACUUAAG